This 86-nucleotide microRNA precursor is filed under the name Leersia perrieri. RNAcentral's name for it is "pre miRNA mir-395". It matches the Rfam family "mir-395 microRNA precursor family". From Rfam's summary of the family: mir-395 was identified in both Arabidopsis thaliana and Oryza sativa computationally and was later experimentally verified. mir-395 is thought to target mRNAs coding for ATP sulphurylases. The mature sequence is excised from the 3' arm of the hairpin. The record is from Rfam by way of RNAcentral. Lineage: Eukaryota; Viridiplantae; Streptophyta; Magnoliopsida; Poales; Poaceae.
GUAUCAUCGUGAGUUUCCUUUAAGCACUUCACGUGACACUAUUACAAAGUCUAAUGUGAAGUGUUUAGGGGAACUCUCGAUGUUAC